UGCCAGACUCCUACGGGAGGCAGCAGUGGGGAAUAUUGCACAAUGGGGGAAACCCUGAUGCAGCAACGCCGCGUGAGUGAAGAAGUCAUUCGUGAUGUAAAGCUCUAUCAGCAGGGAAGAAAAUGACGGUACCUGAGUAAGAAGCCCCGGCUAACUACGUGCCAGCAGCCGCGGUAAUACGUAGGGGGCAAGCGUUAUCCGGAUUUACUGGGUGUAAAGGGAGCGUAGACGGCUGUGCAAGCCAGAUGUGAAAGCCCGGGGCUCAACCCCGGGACUGCAUUUGGAACUGCGUGGCUUGAGUGUCGGAGAGGCAGGCGGAAUUCCUAGUGUAGCGGUGAAAUGCGUAGAUAUUAGGAGGAACACCAGUGGCGAAGGCGGCCUGCUGGACGAUGACUGACGUUGAGGCUCGAAAGCGUGGGGAGCAAACAGGAUUAGAUACCCGCGUAC
RNAcentral lists this ribosomal RNA (447 nucleotides) under uncultured bacterium. RNAcentral describes it as "bacterial SSU rRNA". It matches the Rfam family "Bacterial small subunit ribosomal RNA", at positions 329 to 793 of the family's 1533-position model. The record is from RNAcentral.